This 422-nucleotide ribosomal RNA is filed under the name uncultured bacterium. Its description in RNAcentral is "bacterial SSU rRNA". It matches the Rfam family "Bacterial small subunit ribosomal RNA", at positions 355 to 775 of the family's 1533-position model. The record is from RNAcentral.
UGGGGAAUAUUGCACAAUGGGCGGAAGCCUGAUGCAGCGACGCCGCGUGGGGGAUGACGGCCUUCGGGUUGUAAACCUCUUUCAGCUCUGACGAAGUGGCUGGGUUUUCCUGGUUGUGACGGUAGGGGCAGAAGAAGCGCCGGCCAACUACGUGCCAGCAGCCGCGGUAAGACGUAGGGCGCGAGCGUUGUCCGGAUUUAUUGGGCGUAAAGAGCUCGUAGGCGGCUUGUCGCGUCGUCUGUGAAAACCCGUGGCUCAACUGCGGGCUUGCAGUCGAUACGGGCAGGCUGGAGUUCGGUAGGGGAGACUGGAAUUCCUGGUGUAGCGGUGAAAUGCGCAGAUAUCAGGAGGAACACCGGUGGCGAAGGCGGGUCUCUGGGCCGAUACUGACGCUGAGGAGCGAAAGCGUGGGGAGCGAACAG